GAAUGAUGAAAACAUUGUUUUUAAACCUAUGAAAUUUGAUUGAGUUGUGGAAAUGAUGAAAUGUUGAAGUUAAACCCAUGAAAUUUGAUUGAAUUGUGUGAAUAAUGAAAAUGUUGUUGUUAAACCCAUGAAAUUCGAUUGAAUUAUGUGAAUGAUGAAGAUUUGGUUGUUAAACCCAUAAGAUUUGAUUGAAUUGUUUGAAUGAUGAAAAUUUUGUUGUUAAACCCAUGAAAUUUGAUUGAAUUGUUUCAAUGAUGAAAAUGUUGUUGUCAAACCCAUGAAAUUUGAUUGAAU
This 294-nucleotide long non-coding RNA is filed under the name Lathyrus oleraceus (garden pea). RNAcentral's name for it is "Pisum sativum (pea) long non-coding RNA (PSAT_LNC040033)". Lineage: Eukaryota; Viridiplantae; Streptophyta; Magnoliopsida; Fabales; Fabaceae. The record is from RNAcentral.